Molecule: ribosomal RNA, 440 nt
Filed under: uncultured bacterium
Lineage: Bacteria
Description: partial 16S ribosomal RNA
Rfam family: Bacterial small subunit ribosomal RNA
Source: RNAcentral
CUACGGGGGGCACCAGUGGGGAAUAUUGCACAAUGGAGGAAACUCUGAUGCAGCAACGCCGCGUGGAGGAUGACACUUUUCGGAGCGUAAACUCCUUUUAUAUAGGAAGAAGAUGACGGUACUAUAUGAAUAAGCGCCGGCUAACUCCGUGCCAGCAGCCGCGGUAAUACGGAGGGCGCAAGCGUUACUCGGAAUCACUGGGCGUAAAGAGCGUGUAGGCGGAUUAAAAAGUCAGAAGUGAAAUCCUAUAGCUUAACUAUAGAACUGCUUCUGAAACUCUUAAUCUAGAAUAUGGGAGAGGGUAAAUGGAAUUUCUUGUGUAAGGGGAAAAUCCGUAGAGAUCAGAAGGAAUACCGAUUGCGAAGGCGAUCUACUAGAACAUUAUUGACGCUGAGACGCGAAAGCGUGGGGAGCAAACAGGAUUAGAUACCCGCGUAGUC